RNAcentral lists this ribosomal RNA (308 nucleotides) under uncultured eukaryote. RNAcentral's name for it is "partial 18S ribosomal RNA". It matches the Rfam family "Eukaryotic small subunit ribosomal RNA", at positions 1470 to 1796 of the family's 1831-position model. The record is from RNAcentral.
CCCUUAGACGUUCUGGGCCGCACGCGCGCUACACUGACGAAGGCAACGAGCUUUCCUUUACCGAAAGGUACGGGCAAUCUUUUGAAACUUCGUCGUGCUGGGGAUAGAUCCUUGCAAUUUUUGAUCUUAAACGAGGAAUGCCUAGUAAGCGCAAGUCAUCAACUUGCGUUGAUUACGUCCCUGCCCUUUGUACACACCGCCCGUCGCUACUACCGAUUGAAUGGUUUAGUGAGGCCUUCGGAUCCGCGACUCGUUUUGUGGAGAAGUUGGACAAACUCAGUCAUUUAGAGGAAGUAAAAGUCGUAACA